AAUCCAAUCAAGCCUGGCUUGGUAUUGGGCGUCGGGGUCCCCCGCGCCUCAAUUUCACCGGCCGGCCGUCGCCCGUCUUAGCGUUGUGAUACACUUCUCGCUAGCGAUGGGACCGGACCACGCCGUCAAAACCCCACGAAUUUCAAUCGAAAUUCGAUCAA
This 161-nucleotide unclassified non-coding RNA is filed under the name uncultured Capnodiales. RNAcentral describes it as "sequence contains ITS2". The record is from RNAcentral. Lineage: Eukaryota; Fungi; Ascomycota; Dothideomycetes; Capnodiales.